UACUCACAACAUGGGUGUCAGAUGGA
This 26-nucleotide non-coding RNA is filed under the name Rattus norvegicus (Norway rat). Lineage: Eukaryota; Metazoa; Chordata; Mammalia; Rodentia; Muridae. The record is from RNAcentral.